RNAcentral lists this ribosomal RNA (445 nucleotides) under uncultured bacterium. RNAcentral's name for it is "partial 16S ribosomal RNA". It matches the Rfam family "Bacterial small subunit ribosomal RNA", at positions 354 to 796 of the family's 1533-position model. The record is from RNAcentral.
GUGAGGAAUAUUGCGCAAUGGAGGCAACUCUGACGCAGCCAUGCCGCGUGCAGGAAGAAGGCGCUACGCGUUGUAAACUGCUUUUAACCGGGAAGAAACCCCAGGACGUGUCCUGGGUUGACGGUACCGGAGGAAUAAGCACCGGCUAACUUCGUGCCAGCAGCCGCGGUAAUACGAAGGGUGCAAGCGUUAUCCGGAUUCAUUGGGUUUAAAGGGUGCGUAGGCGGAGCGUUAAGUCAGUGGUGAAAUCCUGCAGCUUAACUGUAGACUUGCCAUUGAUACUGGAGCUCUUGAGUGCGCUUGAAGUGGGCGGAAUGUGCCGUGUAGCGGUGAAAUGCUUAGAUAUGGCACAGAACACCAAUUGCGAAGGCAGCUCACUAAGGCGAUACUGACGCUGAGGCACGAAAGCGUGGGGAUCGAACAGGAUUAGAAACCCCAGUAGUCC